This is a long non-coding RNA of Leopardus geoffroyi (Geoffroy's cat), 2209 nucleotides long. RefSeq lists it as uncharacterized. The transcript has 3 exons. The record is from RefSeq and is a predicted model, not a curated record. NCBI's taxonomy places the organism in Eukaryota, Metazoa, Chordata, Mammalia, Carnivora, Felidae.
ACUUCCGCAUCUCAGAGAGGAGACGUCAGUGUUAGAUGUGGCCCAAAGGACAAAGCUAAUGUUACUGAUGUGGGAACAGAGGCAAAAAGAAAUAUAGAUAGAAUUAAAUUUCCUUAUAACCCGCAGCCCACUGACAAAUACUCGAGGCGGGCAGAGUAUGACCUUCCCCGGGAACUCCCAACUGUCUUAAAGUCAAUGCUUUGCUGGAGGGAAAAACAACCUUAGCCUGACAAUAGCUAGGCCUCCAGGAUCCUGUGGGUCUUUAGCAUAUGACAGUCCGUUUGGAAACUUCACGUCUUCACUUCCCCCAGUUCCCUGGUAUAUAAUCAGUCACCCCUCAUAAUCCCAGUGAAGCACUCUCUGCCCAAGGGUCCUGUCCCCAUGCUUUAAUAAAACUACCUUUUUGCACGGAAGGCAUCUCAAGAGUAGGCUGCAAACCCUAACAUUCCCACAUCAUUACCACUUCUACCUGGAAGGCAGGAAUUGAGUGACCCUUUUGAGCCUCUGCUCUCUCCCCUGUAAAACAGAACCACAACUCCUUCAGAAUUACAGAAUGCGGGAGCCAGCGGGGAGACCUGAAUCCAGUCCCCAGGGACCAUUGCUGUAACUUCUGCCCAGUAACAGUUGUGGUGUACUGUAUUUAUGUCUGUCUCUCCCACCAUAACCAACUCUUCUCUGUCUUUGAAACCCCAGUGCCUUAGACCCAGGAAGGCCUCAGGUAAAUGUCUGUCGAGCAAAUAAUGAAUACGAGAAGAAAGAGAAAGGAAUCGGUGAAGUACAACACAGCCUUCCACAGGACCUGUGAGAAACAAAAUCGCCUGGAGAAUUCAGGCUCGUGCAUUCAGAAUUAGUUCACAUUUGGCAAUUAACAGCGUCAGCCAGUCAAUGUUUGCUGGGAGAAAGGACGUGAGAAAGAAUCCAGAGUCUGCAAGCCUUCGUGACACGUCACUGAGUUUCUGAACCUUGAGGACCGUGCCUGGAUUGACCGACAAGCACUUCCUCUCCUCAUUUCCACGGCAAGUCCUUUCUUGAGCAGCCUCCUAUGAUGGGAUGUUUACCCAGUAUUUACAUUUGGUGGAGGAUCCGCGGUUGGUGACAGCUGAGGCUUUACAAGGUGAGCUGGUGACUGCGAGCGGGGCCUCUGAGGACGUCUCCUGCCUUGCCACUGAGUUACGACAGGCUGAACGGGAGGACGCGGUCAGAGCCGGCCACUGGAGCAGACCACAGUGUGCCCUCCCCAGUGAGCUCCCUGAAAUGGCCUGGAACCUGUACAGAGGGGGGAGGGAAGUGCCACCGAUGGUGAGCGUGCCCAUGACCUUGACCACAGAACCGCAUCAGGCAAGCUGACAUCCCGAGAGCCGCUCUCCGAACCUGCUCCUGGCCCACUCAGUGGGGCCAGGCUGGCAGGCAGCAUCCGGGAGUCGAGGGAAGGGGACAGUGGUGGCUUCAGAGGCUAGACGCAGAGAGAGAAGCAGAGGCAGGUGGGAGGGCUGAGACAGGAUUUCAUGGGCUCUGAUCCUGCUUCAGAGUAAAACGGCCAAAGGGAAGGAGAAGCCAGGAUAGCGUGUUUACAUCAGGAGAGGCUCUUUCCAUUAGCUAUUGUGCAAGACAGCAGGAAUGAUGCCUUCCACUCCACGAUUGAUUCCUCGUGAUUUUCCUUUCAUAUAUCAGAAAGCCAGGCUUUCUCCGCUGCAAACACACCGGGAGCAACCAAAGUAGCAACACCGGCUUUUUCGAGAAGUGAGGUUCAUUAUUCGGAGGCCAUCUGAGUUUUAAAACCAUCUGGUCAACAUUGCAGAGACAGGAGUCUCCAGUAGAUGGCAGCACUAAGACAGUAGCGCCCCAUAGUCUCAGACUCCAGAACAUUAUCAUCGUGCGUGAGCAGCUGCACUCCUCGUGUUGGAACCUGUGUUAUGACUCAUUACCAGUGAAAAUAUUCACUAAAUGUGCUAUAGUCAUAACAGGAUGAGUCAUUCAUUCAAUUUUAUUCACUUGUAAAAUAAGAGAAAUAAGAAAGUCCACUUUUCCUGCAACCUCUAAUCCGAGGGCUGUGUGUUUGUGUCCCAAUUUCCAGAAAAUAAACCUGGUGAAUACUGUUGCAAUUCAUUGCUUCAACCAGGAACACUAUCUUUUGCUUGGACACUUGCUUUUGCUAUAAGAUCUGAAAAACUGAAAUUUUGGAUUUCUCCUAUGUAAGACAGACUUUUGG